AAGUGGAGCAAUCCAUGAGUAUAGUGGCGACCGGGUGAGUAACACGUGACUACCUGCCCUUGAGUGGGGGAUAACCUCGGGAAACCGAGGCUAAUACCGCAUAAUAUCGCAAGAUCAAAGGAGCAAUCCGCUUUUGGAGGGGGUCGCGGCUGAUUAGCUAGUUGGUAAGGUAAUGGCUUACCAAGGCGAAGAUCGGUAUCCGGCCUGAGAGGGCGCACGGACACACUGGAACUGAAACACGGUCCAGACUCCUACGGGAGGCAGCAGUGGGGAAUAUUGCGCAAUGGGCGAAAGCCUGACGCAGCGACGCCGCGUGCGGGAUGAAGGCCUUCGGG
RNAcentral lists this ribosomal RNA (335 nucleotides) under uncultured bacterium. RNAcentral describes it as "bacterial SSU rRNA". It matches the Rfam family "Bacterial small subunit ribosomal RNA", at positions 72 to 422 of the family's 1533-position model. The record is from RNAcentral.